This 253-nucleotide ribosomal RNA is filed under the name uncultured bacterium. RNAcentral describes it as "partial 16S ribosomal RNA". It matches the Rfam family "Bacterial small subunit ribosomal RNA", at positions 524 to 776 of the family's 1533-position model. The record is from RNAcentral.
UACGAAGGGGGCUAGCGUUGUUCGGAAUCACUGGGCGUAAAGGGUGCGCAGGCGGAUUUUUAAGUCAGGGGUGAAAUCCCGAGGCUCAACCUCAGAACUGCCUUUGAUACUGGGGAUCUUGAGUCCGGAAGAGGUGAGUGGAACUGCGAGUGUAGAGGUGAAAUUCUUAGAUAUUCGAUAGAACACCGGUGGCGAAGGCGGCUCACUGGUCCGAAACUGACGCUGAGGCACGAAAGCGUGGGGAUCAAACAGG